CACAACUGCAAUGUUGUUGGAUGAAUUAAGACUUGGUAGAAAUGGAGUAGUGUAGUGAGCAAAAAAAGGUUGUUAGGAAUGACAAGUAGGGAAGGUGGUGGAGAGAGUUUUGUUGUCAGUAGGAAGAAACAUCUUGUCUGGAGGAAGCUCCCAUAUGGGAUGGGAAAAGAGACUGACUGAAAAUCUGAAUGUCAGGAUAGGAGAGGAGGACAUUUUUCAGCAGGAGUGUGUUACAGGAUACUCAGACAAGACCAGAAAGUGAACAGUGGCUGGGCAUGAAAGCAUGAAGUAUAGCUUAAUUCAAAAGACGGAUAUCUUGUCAUUUUGGACUAUCAUUCUGAAACUCAACAAACUUCUGAAUCUACUUAUCUAUUUCCAUCCAUCACCAGAAAGAAGGGAGGAUGAGUAA
This 409-nucleotide long non-coding RNA is filed under the name Cyanistes caeruleus (blue tit). RNAcentral describes it as "lncRNA (ENSCCEG00000000003.1)". The record is from RNAcentral. Lineage: Eukaryota; Metazoa; Chordata; Aves; Passeriformes; Paridae.